GAAGCAUCGAAGCGCGGCAGCCAUGUUCAGCGUGGCAUUUCGGAAGGCUUGUCAGGGGUGGAGAAGCGGGGCGGGUUGCUGUUCUUUCACCUGACACUAAAGCGCCAUGCCGGAAGCACUGAGUCUGAUACGUCGGAACCAGUCUCCACCGUGUGGUUUGGUCUUGAUUUCCACUGGUACUCUGGGGUCUUGGAUAAGUCUCUGGACCUCGCCUUUGUCAUUUGCGAAGUCGAUAGGUUCCAAUAGAGAUUUUCCCAGAAUCAUUCAACUAAAAAUAGAGAACUUUUUUUUUUUGAGAGGAAGGACGGGGGCGCAGUUAAAGAUGUUAAUGUUAAGUCAUCCCUUCUGUGAUUUCGGGACAUUAUCUUUGCACGCCAUGUGAAGAUGUGCUUGCUUCCUUGUCACCUUCCGCCAUGAUUGUAAGUUUCCUGAGGCCUCCCAGGAAGCAGAAGCCUGUACAGCCCACAGAACCAUGACCUGAUGAAAUCUCUUUUCUUUAUAAAUUACCCAGUCUCAGAUCUUGCUAUGCUUGUCAUUGUGUAAGCAGCAAACUUGCAGUGACCAGUUGGAUUCCACCCCCCUGAUGUUGGUGGUGUGCUCUUGGGGAGAUGUCUUCCAGACAGGCAAAGAAGAGUGACAUCAUCAGAGCAUGGACGACCUCAAAGAUAUUCCAGCUAUGCUCCAGAGAGAGCCAUCCUGAUGGAACCUACUGACCAGGGGGACACAAAAGAAAAGAGGGAGGAGAUGAAAGAAGAGGAAACAAAAGGAGGGUGUUAGAGGAAAAAGAGGGAAACCCACUGACAGAGAGGAAGGCUGAAGAGAUCCCACCGCUGACUUGGACUAAGGAGAGAGAAGUCAAAGAGUGGUUACCUGGAUGAGGUGGCUGAAUAUGGGCCUGCUCUUGUCACUUUGGAUGUCACAACUAGCCUUGAGAAGAGCUGCUGUUCCAGGAGUCUGUCACAACUAGCCUUGAGAAGAGCUGCUGUUCCAGGAGUCUGUAGCCAAGGACGUACAGCAGUGGAGGCUGACUCAUCGCAUAGCUGAGUGACCAAUUGCUUGGCAUGAGUUUACUUUAAUGGCUGUUUCUGAGUUUGAUCCCUCUCCGGAACCAACCCCUCUGAUGUGUCCUGUUCCAGCAGGAAGAGACAGACCUGGAGGUUCUGUACUUGUGAUUUCUGGUUGUGGAUCCUGAGAACAAGAAGUACUGGGAUCCUAAAGUUCUGACAUUUGCAAAGCAGAUUAAUGACCUACCACAUUCCAGAUCAUUUGGUGAUUUUGUGUGUGCGUGUGGGUGUGUGUGUGUGUGUGCCAAAUUCAAGGUGGUCCCAGCCUUUCUAGUCUUCUCUAACCUUUCUUCUCAGAAGUCGCACCUGUUCUGUCUUUCUAGGAUAUAAUUUUUUUUCUAUUAGCCUGGGUAACACCCCAACCAAUAAAGUUUGCAAUAUCCAAGCCUCCUAAUUUCUCUACUUAUUAGCUUAUAUUAAGCUUCAGCAUGAGCAAGCCUAAAAACUCGCCAUUAUCUGGAAAAGUUCUAUUUCACAGGCUUUAAUCUCUCCUAGAGUAGUUAGCACUCUUUUGUGGCUUUGUGUUCCUGUACUAGCUUGAAUUCCACAGUCUGACGUUAAUAAUUAGCUCCUUAACACGUCCAUCCUCUCUUGAUGUCCUGCUCUCUAUUUUUCCUUCUUUCUUCCAAGUUGGGAUAAAUUCAGCUUCUUAUUUUCCUGCUCCAGACCUUGGUUGUGGAGAAAGAUAGAAAAAGUUCCAUACAGGGGACUCUGUGAUCCUGCUAACAUCAUUAUUUACCUAAGCUCUUUAGACUCCAGUGAAAGCUUCUGAUUUAAUGUCAUGUCCCUACUUUAUGCCACAUGUCCCAUACCAUUUUCUUUGUUUUAUGCAAUUUAUUUCCACUAUCUGAUCCCAUUCCACCCACAUGACUUUGAGUGGAAAACUUCAUCUCUUCAUUGCUGAGUAAACAAACUUCAGGAUGAACAAGCCCUGUCCACUAUUUUCCCUUUUACUUUAAAAUUCUGGAAUUUUUAUGAUCUACGUUUUUUUCCUCUGUUUUUAUUCUUCACUCCAUAUCAACUUACUUGGGGAUCUACACCUUCAUUCAUUCUUUUCAUUCUGUCGGCACCUGGCUAUGGAGUUUACAUUUCUCAUCAUAUUUACUCCUCAUAAUAAUCCUGUGAGGUAUAUACCACUCUGAGUCUUGUAUAAGAGAAAAAGAAACUGAGAUAGGGAUAACUCAAAGGGAUAAUUCAUUUGCUGGAGCUACCAACUAGCUACUAACCAUGCUAGAAUGGACAGAGAUGACAUUCAUGCCAAAGACCAUGUUGACUUGCUAUCUCUACAUUUGCUCUAAGUUUAGAAAAAAAAAAUCCCUUCAAUUUAUCCUCCAACAGUCUUCUUAGAACCUUACCAUGGAUGCCUUG
Homo sapiens (human) is the source of this 2432-nucleotide long non-coding RNA. Ensembl annotates it as FBXO38 divergent transcript. Its record names the gene FBXO38-DT. NCBI's taxonomy places the organism in Eukaryota, Metazoa, Chordata, Mammalia, Primates, Hominidae. The record is from Ensembl.